CCUACGGGGAGCAGCAGUGGGGAAUAUUGCACAAUGGGCGCAAGCCUGAUGCAGCCAUGCCGCGUGUGUGAAGAAGGCCUUCGGGCUGUAAAGCACUUUCAGCGGGGAGGAAGGCGGUGAGGUUAAUAACCUCAUCGAUUGACGUUACCCGCAGAAGAAGCACCGGCUAACUCCGUGCCAGCAGCCGCGGUAAUACGGAGGGUGCAAGCGUUAAUCGGAAUUACUGGGCGUAAAGCGCACGCAGGCGGUCUGUCAAGUCGGAUGUGAAAUCCCCGGGCUCAACCUGGGAACUGCAUUCGAAACUGGCAGGCUAGAGUCUUGUAGAGGGGGGUAGAAUUCCAGGUGUAGCGGUGAAAUGCGUAGAGAUCUGGAGGAAUACCGGUGGCGAAGGCGGCCCCCUGGACAAAGACUGACGCUCAGGUGCGAAAGCGUGGGGAGCAAACAGGAUUAGAUACCCCGGUAGUC
RNAcentral lists this ribosomal RNA (465 nucleotides) under uncultured Klebsiella sp. Its description in RNAcentral is "bacterial SSU rRNA". It matches the Rfam family "Bacterial small subunit ribosomal RNA", at positions 338 to 795 of the family's 1533-position model. The record is from RNAcentral. Lineage: Bacteria; Pseudomonadati; Pseudomonadota; Gammaproteobacteria; Enterobacterales; Enterobacteriaceae.